CACAGUAUGCGGAGCAACAUGUGCCGGAACACAGCCAAAAGAGCGAGCAACGCAGUGCAGCCUGUGAGUGGACGGCGGGACAAACAAAGCUGUUGCUCGACUACUACCAGAAGUAGUUUUCCUAAAUAGGGCCAAUGAAGAAAUUUAAAAAUAAAAAGGCAAUGUUUGCCAAAAUAGUGGCCAACAUCA
Long non-coding RNA from Rhipicephalus microplus (southern cattle tick), 189 nucleotides. The record is from RefSeq and is a predicted model, not a curated record. Lineage: Eukaryota; Metazoa; Arthropoda; Arachnida; Ixodida; Ixodidae.